GAAUCUCUGAGAACCUCAAGAUAUCAAUCACCCCCCUUUCCAAAAUCCAGUGGAUCUGCAGAUAAUUCCAAGACUACACGACAGCAGGACCCAACAAAAUUAAAGCCGUAAAAACGUAUUAAACCAGAAGGUCUGAAAUUUCUCCAAAUAUUCCGUCAAAGAAAGAACCGACCACCUAAUCAAGACAAAUGGAAAAGAUUCGUCUAAUCUCCCAACUUUCAAGCCCAACCUCAACACCAAACCUUGAAAUCUUUAAAUUCCAGGGGAACAGAUAGAUUCUCCCCAAACUUGACGCGCUCCGGUGUCCAAGAUAAUCAAGAACUCAUACCGUUUAAAAGAAACAACGAAAGGAAGAUAGGAUCAGAGCUCAAAACUUAUUGCUGAUGUGAGGAUACAAAUAGCAUCAAAACUCAUCCAUUCAAAGGCUCAAAGAUCCAUAGAUUCUGCUUGGUUAUGAUAAAACCUCACAAAUCAUCGCAACGAUAAUCUUGAAACUCCACCUCGAUUCCCCCAUCCUUCAAGAUCUACGGCCUCAUACGGAGCUGGAUUCACAGAUCAAAUCACCGUGAACACGCCUCCGAGAUCCAACCACAUCAAACUUCCUAGAGAUCUGCAUCCAAACCAAGAAACCCCUGAAAACCCCAGCCAAUACCUACAAUCUCGAAGCGAGGACCGAAUUCCGCCCACCCAGCCAGUGCCAGCUCAAUCCUACGCCGUUUUCGCAGAUCCGAGGCUCGAAGCACUCCUCGAGACCUACGGAAUCGAUCGAGUCGGAGGAGGAACCCUAGAAAACUCCGCCAGGGGCAGCGAUUCGGGGGCUCGAGGAGGACGUUGCACGGGGAGAGGAAGAGAGGGGGAAAACUUAGUUUUUUAAAAUUGAUAAAUAUUUUUUUUCUUUAUGGUGAAGAAGAGCACCGGCUUUCUUUUAUUUCGGGAAAUUAGUUGACUCACCAACUUAAAAAUACUCAAUCCGCACACGCCAGUGGUUCCCGCAUAGUUGUAGGGCA
Molecule: long non-coding RNA, 1007 nt
Filed under: Elaeis guineensis (African oil palm)
Lineage: Eukaryota; Viridiplantae; Streptophyta; Magnoliopsida; Arecales; Arecaceae
Description: long non-coding RNA (EGUI_LNC077100)
Source: RNAcentral